UGAGAGUAGUACAUCGAUGGGAGACCCCUUGGGAAGUCCUCGUGUUGCACCCAUGGGUGCGAUCAUACCGGCACUAAUGCACCGGAUCCCGUCAGAACU
RNAcentral lists this ribosomal RNA (99 nucleotides) under Calamus paspalanthus. Lineage: Eukaryota; Viridiplantae; Streptophyta; Magnoliopsida; Arecales; Arecaceae. The record is from RNAcentral.